Molecule: ribosomal RNA, 468 nt
Filed under: uncultured bacterium
Lineage: Bacteria
Description: partial 16S ribosomal RNA
Rfam family: Bacterial small subunit ribosomal RNA
Source: RNAcentral
GACGAACGCUGGCGGCGUGCUUAACACAUGCAAGUCGAACGGAAAGGCCCUGCUUUUGUGGGGUGCUCGAGUGGCGAACGGGUGAGUAACACGUGAGUAACCUGCCCUUGACUUUGGGAUAACUUCAGGGAACUGGGGCUAAUACCGGAUAGGAGCUCCUGCUGCAUGGUGGUGGUUGGAAAGUUUCGGCGGUUGGGGAUGGACUCGCGGCUUAUCAGCUUGUUGGUGGGGUAGUGGCUUACCAAGGCUUUGACGGGUAGCCGGCCUGAGAGGGUGACCGGCCACAUUGGGACUGAGAGACGGCCCAGACUCCUACGGGAGGCAGCAGUGGGGAAUAUUGCACAAUGGGCGGAAGCCUGAUGCAGCAACGCCGCGUGCGGGAUGACGGCCUUCGGGUUGUAAACCGCUUUCGCCUGUGACGAAGCGUGAGUGACGGUAAUGGGUAAAGAAGCACCGGCUAACUACGUG